This 279-nucleotide ribosomal RNA is filed under the name uncultured bacterium. RNAcentral's name for it is "partial 16S ribosomal RNA". It matches the Rfam family "Bacterial small subunit ribosomal RNA", at positions 506 to 784 of the family's 1533-position model. The record is from RNAcentral.
UGCCAGCCGCCGCGGUAAUACGUAGGGGGCAAAUGUUGCUCGGAAUCACUGGGCGUAAAGGGUGUGUAGGUGGCUUUGCAAGUCAGAGGUGAAAGCCCAGAGCUCAACUCUGGAAUUGCCUUUGAAACUGCAAAGCUUGAGGGCAGGAGAGGGAAGCGGAAUUCCCGGUGGAGCGGUGAAAUGCGUAGAUAUCGGGAGGAACACCAGUAGCGAAGGCGGCCACCUGGCUCAUUUCUGACGCUGAGGCGCGAGAGCGUGGGGAGCAAACAGGAUUAGAUA